CCCAAUGGCAAGGUCGAGGGGUAACAUUGUGCUUGCACAGAUGACGACCGGCGCACGGGUGCGUAACGCGUAUAGAACCUACCUUUUACAGAGGAAUAGCCUUUAGAAAUGAAGAUUAAUGCCUCAUAGUAUUGAGUAAUCGCAUGAUUAUUUAAUUAAAGAUUUAUCGGUAAAAGAUGGCUAUGCGUCCUAUUAGUUAGUUGGUAAGGUAACGGCUUACCAAGACAUCGAUAGGUAGGGGUCCUGAGAGGGAGAUCCCCCACACUGGUACUGAGACACGGACCAGACUCCUACGGGAGGCAGCAGUGAGGAAUAUUGGACAAUGGAGGAGACUCUGAUCCAGCCAUGCCGCGUGUAGGAAGAAUGCCCUAUGGGUUGUAAACUACUUUUAUACAGGAAGAAACACUGGUAUGUAUACCAGCUUGACGGUACUGUAAGAAUAAGGACCGGCUAACUCCGUGCCAGCAGCCGCGGUAAC
Molecule: ribosomal RNA, 478 nt
Filed under: uncultured Polaribacter sp.
Lineage: Bacteria; Pseudomonadati; Bacteroidota; Flavobacteriia; Flavobacteriales; Flavobacteriaceae
Description: bacterial SSU rRNA
Rfam family: Bacterial small subunit ribosomal RNA
Source: RNAcentral